UACGUAGGUGGCAAGCGUUAUCCGGAUUUAUUGGGCGUAAAGGGAACGCAGGCGGUCUUUUAAGUCUGAUGUGAAAGCCUUCGGCUUAACCGGAGUAGUGCAUUGGAAACUGGGAGACUUAAGUGCAGAAGAGGAGAGUGGAACUCCAUGUGUAGCGGUGAAAUGCGUAGAUAUAUGGAAGAACACCAGUGGCGAAAGCGGCUCUCUGGUCUGUAACUGACGCUGAGGUUCGAAAGCGUGGGUAGCAAACAGG
RNAcentral lists this ribosomal RNA (253 nucleotides) under uncultured bacterium. Its description in RNAcentral is "partial 16S ribosomal RNA". It matches the Rfam family "Bacterial small subunit ribosomal RNA", at positions 524 to 776 of the family's 1533-position model. The record is from RNAcentral.